This 69-nucleotide transfer RNA is filed under the name Oryx leucoryx (Arabian oryx). RNAcentral describes it as "tRNA-Ala". It matches the Rfam family "tRNA". Rfam says of the family: Transfer RNA (tRNA) molecules are approximately 80 nucleotides in length. Their secondary structure includes four short double-helical elements and three loops (D, anti-codon, and T loops). Further hydrogen bonds mediate the characteristic L-shaped molecular structure. tRNAs have two regions of fundamental functional importance: the anti-codon, which is responsible for specific mRNA codon recognition, and the 3' end, to which the tRNAs corresponding amino acid is attached (by aminoacyl-tRNA synthetases). tRNAs cope with the degeneracy of the genetic code in two manners: having more than one tRNA (with a specific anti-codon) for a particular amino acid; and 'wobble' base-pairing, i.e. permitting non-standard base-pairing at the 3rd anti-codon position. Lineage: Eukaryota; Metazoa; Chordata; Mammalia; Artiodactyla; Bovidae. RNAcentral also lists the same sequence under 1 other name. The record is from RNAcentral.
GAGGACUUAGCUUAAUUAAAGUGAUUGAUUUGCACUCAGUUGAUGUAAGAUAUAGUCUUGCAGUCCUUA